This 614-nucleotide ribosomal RNA is filed under the name Apilactobacillus kunkeei. RNAcentral's name for it is "bacterial SSU rRNA". It matches the Rfam family "Bacterial small subunit ribosomal RNA", at positions 93 to 692 of the family's 1533-position model. The record is from RNAcentral. Lineage: Bacteria; Bacillati; Bacillota; Bacilli; Lactobacillales; Lactobacillaceae.
GAGUGGCGAACUGGUUGAGUAACACGUGGGUAACCUGCCCCGAAGCGGGGGAUAACAUUUGGAAACAAGUGCUAAUACCGCAUAAUUAGUUGGAACCGCAUGGUUCCAACUUGAAAGAUGGCUCUGCUAUCACUUUGGGAUGGACCCGCGCCGUAUUAGUUAGUUGGUGAGAUAAAAGCCCACCAAGACGAUGAUACGUAGCCGACCUGAGAGGGUAAUCGGCCACAUUGGGACUGAGACACGGCCCAGACUCCUACGGGAGGCAGCAGUAGGGAAUCUUCCACAAUGGACGAAAGUCUGAUGGAGCAACGCCGCGUGAGUGAUGAAGGUUUUCGGAUCGUAAAACUCUGUUGUUAAAGAAGAACAAGUGUUAGAGUAACUGUUAACACUUUGACGGUAUUUAACCAGAAAGCCACGGCUAACUACGUGCCAGCAGCCGCGGUAAUACGUAGGUGGCAAGCGUUGUCCGGAUUUAUUGGGCGUAAAGCGAGCGCAGGCGGUUUUGUAAGUCUGCUGUGAAAGCCCUCAGCUCAACUGAGGAAGUGCAGUGGAAACUACAAAACUUGAGUACAGAAGAGGAAAGUGGAACUCCAUGUGUAGCGGUGAAAUGCGUA